UGAUUUAAGAUUUAGGAUUUGAUUUAGGGUUUGGUUGGGGUUUAUUUAGGUUUUAGGAUUUAGUUUAGGAUUUGAUUUAGGAUCUAAGAUUUGAUUAAGGAUCUAGGGUUUGAUUAGGGUUUAGUAUUUGGAUGAGGGUUUGGUUAGGGUUUGAUUUAGGGUCUAGGAUUUGGAUUAGGAUUUGGUUUAAGAUUUAGGAUUUAUAUUAGGGUUUGAUUAGGAUUUGAUUUAAGAUUUGGCUAGGAUUUAGUUUAGGAUUUGGUUGGGAUUUAGUUUAAGGUUUGUUUAGGAUUUGAUUUAGGGUUUAGGAUUUUAUUUGGAUUUAAGAUUAAAUUAGUUUUGGCCUAAAGUUUGAAUGAAGUUCAAUAGAAUUUUAACUAGAAUUAAAUUAAGAUUGAAUUGAGAUGUAUUUGAAUGAUAUUUGUGAUCCUUCUAAUAUUUCUUUAAAAAUUCUUAUUAUUUGUUUGAAAUUUCUUUGAGGUUUUUUUUAAAUUUUAUUAAGCUUGCUUAGCAUUAUUAUAGUCUAAUUAGAAUAUUGUUAGUAUUCUAUUAGAAUUCGGAUUUUGUUAUUAUAAUUUCCAUUCUUCCUUCCACAGUCAGGUACCUGAAGCAUUCUCAAGU
This 621-nucleotide long non-coding RNA is filed under the name Physcomitrium patens. RNAcentral's name for it is "long non-coding RNA (PPAT_LNC014790)". Lineage: Eukaryota; Viridiplantae; Streptophyta; Bryopsida; Funariales; Funariaceae. The record is from RNAcentral.